This 253-nucleotide ribosomal RNA is filed under the name uncultured bacterium. RNAcentral describes it as "partial 16S ribosomal RNA". It matches the Rfam family "Bacterial small subunit ribosomal RNA", at positions 524 to 776 of the family's 1533-position model. The record is from RNAcentral.
UACGUAGGGUGCAAGCGUUGUCCGGAAUUAUUGGGCGUAAAGAGCUUGUAGGCGGUUUGUCGCGUCUGCUGUGAAAUUUCGGGGCUCAACCCCGAACUUGCAGUGGGUACGGGCAGACUAGAGUGUGGUAGGGGAGACUGGAAUUCCUGGUGUAGCGGUGAAAUGCGCAGAUAUCAGGAGGAACACCGGUGGCGAAGGCGGGAUCCUGGGCCAGUACUGACGCUGAGGAGCGAAAGCGUGGGGAGCGAACAGG